CAGCCGCCACGGGAAUACGUAGGUCCCGAGCGUUGUCCGGAUUUAUUGGGCGUAAAGGGAGCGCAGGCGGACAUAUAAGUCCAUCUUAAAAGUGCGGGGCUCAACCCCGUGAGGGGAUGGAAACUGUAUGCCUUGAGUGCAGGAGAGGAAAGCGGAAUUCCCAGUGUAGCGGUGAAAUGCGUAGAUAUUGGGAGGAACACCAGUGGCGAAGGCGGCUUUCUGGACUGUAACUGACGCUGAGGCUCGAGAACCAGGGGAGCGAACGGGAUUAGAUACCCCAGUAGUCCCUGUCUCUUAUACA
This 301-nucleotide ribosomal RNA is filed under the name uncultured bacterium. RNAcentral's name for it is "partial 16S ribosomal RNA". It matches the Rfam family "Bacterial small subunit ribosomal RNA", at positions 509 to 808 of the family's 1533-position model. The record is from RNAcentral.